Strigops habroptila (Kakapo) is the source of this 5922-nucleotide RNA transcript. It is a transcript of the gene named cAMP regulated phosphoprotein 21, with no coding region annotated. The record is from RefSeq and is a predicted model, not a curated record. The transcript is spliced from 21 exons. NCBI's taxonomy places the organism in Eukaryota, Metazoa, Chordata, Aves, Psittaciformes, Psittacidae.
AUUCCAUUAAUGAAAUAAAAUGCAGCUGUGCAGAAGGGUGAUCGAUUCACUGGGUUUAGUCAGACUAUUUGGUGGUGUCUAAGAUGAUAUAAAAGAAUAUUUUCAAAAGUUGUAUGAAACAAACUGCAGACAGGAGAUGAUUUUGUGCUGUUGAUAAAUCUGAUUGUGUGUGGGUAUGCUGAAGUCAAAGGAGAAUGUUCCAUUUUUAUUCUUUUUUUUUUUUUUAUGUUGGUGUCUUCCAAUGGAGUAGCACAAAGCAUCUUAAGAUUUAAUUUGUUCUUGUUUCAAUGUUGAAGGAUUUAUAUUCUUAGCAGUAGCCUCCUGAAGCAGGAGUUAGGGGUUUUUAUUCCUUGCAGUUAAAAGUUAUUUCAGUUGAUAUUAAAAAUCAUUGUUGCAUGUAAUGCUCGCAGAGUGCAAGCAGCUGUUGCAAUAUAUGUGUAAAGGGAAAUACCUCUAGAUGAAUACAGUGUAUGCUGUUAUGCACGAUGCUUGGAUACUUUUGGAAAUUCGCCUUGUUUAGUGCCAUGUAUCUGCAGUCAGAAAUACAUUUAUGAGCUAUUUGCAACUAUGCAUGCGCUAAGAAUCGCAUAGAAAAACUGGCUUUGAUUAAAGAUGUCUUGUAUAAAACAACUGUAUUUUCUCUGUGUUGCCUGCAGUUUUACAGGAUGCAGGUCUAAGAAAUGGCUGACUGCCCUUCCUGCAAAACCCUGUCUCAAGCAAUUAUUUCUUUUUGCUCUGUGCUAGUCCCUUUGACUGUCCCAGGGCUAAGUGUGCAAGUGAGAGUUGCUCAGGCGAGUGUUGCGGUGCAUCGUACCCAUGAAGGAAAAAUUGCAUUGGGAUGGUAGAGGGAACACAAUGACAUUUUUAACACAGGUGUAAUGGUAGGUCUCGGAGAGAGAACGGUGCAGCAGUCAGUUGGAAACUUCAUCCUGCUGGAGUAAAACUGUGUGCCAAGUCCUGGCGGUGUUGCCGUUCCCCCUGGGCUUUACUGGGGUUAUUGGUAUGAUUACAGUAAACUGGACUUGGCCUGGUAAAUCUCUGCUGUUAAACAGAAUUUAUGGGAGUUCAUAAAAGAAACCCAAAAAGUUUUAGGAUCCGCUGCGCUUUCGGCAUCUUCCCAGGUUAUGAUUUUAACAACUAACUUUAAACUUGGAGUGAAGCGGGGAGAAGUGCACUGAUGAUAGGAUGGCUUACUUAUAGCCUGUCUUUCCUCUUGUAGGCAUCGCUCUUGCUACCGUCAAUGGGAGCGUUACAUUUGGAAGUGCAUCCAGGGUUUGGUUCGAUCCUUUUAUCGGUGCUAAAGACAGAUGCAGGGACAAAUCUUCAGCAGCUGUAAAUUGAUGUAGUUCCAUUGUUUUUAAGAACAGUGUAGAUUUACACCAGCUGAUGAUACGCCCUUCUGCUUGUAAUGUGCAGGAUCUGUAACCUGCAUUGAGUGGUAUUAUCAGUUUUGAUGGUGUUAAUUUCAGAGUAGGAAAAGGAUUUUGGCAGACUAGCAAAUCCUUGUUUAUAGGGACUACUCACAAAUGGGCUUGAUCCAGUGAGUGCUCCCAGCUCAAGUUAUUCACUCGGUUGUAAAGAGAAUUUGUAACUUCCGUGAUUACUUAAAGAAAAUGCUAUUGGUGUUAAGGAAUCUGUUUUUGAAAAUAUAAUUAAAGAUUGGCUAGUUGAGAAGCAAUGUAAUUACUGUGCAAUAAACUUGCAAAAUCUGUUUGUCCCCUGCUCAUUCAUUUAUUAGAUCUGAAGUUCUGUAUUAAUAUUCUCAGCAGGUAGUAAGUCAAGCAAAUGGGUCACUUUUUCUUCUAGAAGAUUGAAACAGUCAUCAAACAAGUAAUAUAUGGUACAGACUCUGUGUGUUCCAGUGGAGAGCACUUGGUUCUGAAGACUUAAAAGUGCUGGGUAUGAACAUUUCUGUGUCUGGCAACAUGCAUUUCUAGGGCGCGUUCUCUUUCGAUGGCAAACUGCAACCCAGGUUGACUAUGAUCCGUCAAACUCUCUGAAGGACCAGCAUGGAGAUUGGCACUCUGAACUGUUAAUGGGGACAUGGGACUCACGUUGUCGUUGAUCACUUGUGUGGACUUAACCAGCGAAGAGCAACAGAAGACAAUAGGAAGACAGUGGGAAUUAUAGCAGACUUUCAGGUCACCAGAUCUUGUUGUUUUAAUUUCUGUCUGGAAGAAUGUCUGAGCAAGGUAAAUUGAACCAGGAGACAGCAGAGGAAGCUGUGAAGGAGCAGGAGACUGCCAUCUUGGAGGUGAACCCGGACAACUGUAUCCUUACUAAAUCUGAAAGCUCGGAAGUGGACGAGAAGGACGAGAAGCAGAGUGAUGCCAAGACAGAUCUGCAGAAACGAGGUGGAAAUCAGAACCAGCAGAAAAAGAGAUCCAAGUCAGGAGCUAAAGGAAAACUUGUCCGGAGCCUUGCUGUGUGUGAAGAGUCAUCCCCGCGCCCAGCGGCAGAGAAUCUUCAUGACAAUCAGGAAUCAAUCCAACUACAGCUCUCAAGUUUUCCUAGCUUGCAAGAAGAAGAUAAAUCUAAUAAAGAUGACUCCGAGAAAGAAAAGGAGAAGGAAAGAAAUAAAGAAAAAGAUAAAAACAGUGAAAAGAACAAGAUCAGAAUGUUAUCAAAAGAUUGCAGCCAAGAGUAUACGGACUCAACAGGCAUAGAUUUGCAUGAGUUUCUCAUUAACACAUUAAAGAAUAACCCCAGGGACAGAAUGAUUCUCUUGAAAAUGGAACAGGAAAUUAUUGAUUUUAUUAGUGACAACAAUAAUCACUAUAAAAAGUUCCCUCAGAUGUCGUCAUACCAGAGGAUGCUGGUGCACAGAGUGGCAGCUUACUUUGGGAUGGAUCACAAUGUGGAUCAGACUGGGAAAUCUGUAAUUAUUAACAAGACCAGCAAUACCAGAAUACCAGAGCAAAGGUUUUCUGAACAUUUAAAAGAUGAAAAAGGUGAAGAAUCCCAGAAGCGAUUUAUCUUGAAGCGAGAUAACUCUAGUAUUGAUAAAGAAGACAAUCAGCAAAACAGAAUUCUUCCAUUUAGAGAUGACAGACGAAGUAAAUCAAUUGAAGAGAGAGAAGAGGAGUAUCAGAGAGUGAGGGAGAGAAUAUUUGCACAAGAUUCAGUUUGCUCCCAGGAAAACCUUUUUGUGGAAAACAGUAGGCUGUUGGAAGACAGUAGCAUAUGCAAUGAUACCCAUAAGAAAAGACAGCUUUUUAGGGGUAACAGGGACAGCAUGGGGAAGGCAUCCGGCAGUCGACAGAGCAGUACAGAAAACGAACUGAAAUGGACAGACCACCAGAGACCAUGGAGCAGCACAGACUCAGACAGCUCAAAUCGAAACUUGAAGCCAGCCAUAACAAAGACAGCCAGUUUUGGUGGGAUAACCGUCCUGACAAGAGGAGAUAGCUCAUCAAGUAACAGAAGUACCGGCAAACUGUCUAAAACAGGUAGCUCAGAGUCUUCCAGCAGCGCUGGCUCCUCAGGAUCACUGUCACGGUUACAUCAGCCUCUCCAAAGUGCAUCUCUUGUCCCCGGGGUGACGGCCAGCUCUUCGGGCAGUGUGUCCUACCCUGAGAAUGGGAUGAGUGGCCAGGUGGCCCCCAGUAACACCAGCUAUAUCAUUCUUCCACUUGAAGCUGCGGGGAUACCACCUGGCAGCAUCCUUCUGAACCCACACACAGGUCAACCGUUCGUAAAUCCUGAUGGGACACCGGCAAUAUACAAUCCUCCCAGUGGCCAGCAGACGAUGAGGAGCCAGAUGGUGGGACAGUCUCAGCAGCAGCCUUCAUCCCAGCAGCCUCAGCAGGUUCAACAGCCACAGCAGCAAAUGGCAAGUCACCUUGUCACACAGCCUGUUCAGGCAAUGCAGCCAUCUUCUCAGUCAGUCCAAUAUCCAGCAGUUUCUUAUCCUCCCCAGCAUCUCCUGCCAGUCUCUCCAACGCAGCAGUUUUCUGUGCGAGAUGACAUGACAACACAGUUUAACCAGAUGAGCUUGAGCCGUCAGUCGUCGGGAGACAACCCUGAGUCGCCGUCUGGUCCUGUGUACCCAUCGCCUAUCUUGCAGCAGCCUGCCCAGCAGGCGGGUUACAUUAUGGCUUCUCCAAGUCAGCAGCUUCCCCCAGGAGGCUUUACAGGUUCAGGUCCACCAGUAUCCCAGCCAGUGCUGCAGCCACCACCUCCACCCCAGGGCUUCGUGCAACAACCACCACCACCUGCUCAGAUGCCAGUGUAUUAUUACCCAUCUGGUCAGUACCCUACCUCAACAACUCAGCAGUACAGACCUAUUGCCUCAGUUCAGUACAAUGCACAGCGGAGUCAACAGAUCCCACAGACUCUAUCUUUCCCUCUCUCUUGCUUCUAUAUAUUUUUACUCCAGGCUCUUCUUUGCUGCGAAUUGACCAUUUUUUCCAGAGUUCACUUACUGGUCAACAUGCUCUCUAUAUGUACUGUAUUGAUGUGGAAGGUGGUGGUUGCAUUCUUUUAUUCUGCAGCAUUUGCUAUUUUACUGUGAUUUCUUUGGCACAUGCUUUUUAUGCAUUCUGUAUGGUUUUGUCUCUUUCAAUUAAAUUCUUUUUUUUUCUGUUUCUUAAAGUAUCUGGGAAGAAAUUUGGUCACUAGUAGUCCUUUUCCUAGCAAAGCUAGGAAGCAAGCAGCGGUUUUUGAAGUGACACAGUGCAAACCUCCCGAUUACUGUUACCACUAAUCUGCUUGACUUGAACUCCUGCUCCCCUUCCAGUUGUGUUUGAUGUUGUGAGUCUUGGAGCUUUAGGGCCUGUAGUUAGCUGCUAUUCUGUUUCUUUGCAGAUGCCAGUGUAUUAUUACCCAUCUGGUCAGUACCCUACCUCAACAACUCAGCAGUACAGACCCAUUGCCUCAGUUCAGUACAAUGCACAGCGGAGUCAACAGAUCCCACAGACUGCACAGCAAGCAGGUUACCAGCCUGUCCUGCCGAACCAGCAGCAGGGGUUCCAGGGUCUCAUGGGAAUGCAGCAGCCGCCCCAAAGCCAGAACCUGAUGAAUAAUCAACAGGGAAAUCAGGUGCAAGGCAUGAUGGUGCAGUAUCCAGCCAUGUCGUCUUAUCAGGUGCCAAUGACCCAGGGUUCUCAAGGAUUGCCACAACAAUCAUACCAACAACCAAUCAUGCUACCUAAUCAAUCAGGUCAAGGAACACUUACAGCCACUGGAAUGCCUGUCUACUGUAAUGUCAUACCUCCUGCCCCACAGAACAACCUACGGCUGAUCGCCCCACACUGCCCCUCCAAUAACGUUCCAGUUAUUUCUGCCAGCUGCAGGACAAACUGUGCGAGCAUUAACAGUGCAGGGUGGCAGGUCAAAUACUGACACUGGCUCAGUGUGGAUAUACGAGGAUAGUGGUGCAUUAUCUGACAAAUAACUCAUGGCCUUCAAACGAAGAGGAACACAACAGGAUAAUCAGUUGAGGACAGAAAUACUGACUAUGCUCAAGUGAUUUGCUGCUGGAAAAGUCUGUAAAAAAAAAUAAAAAUAAAAUAAAUUUUGAAAAAAAAAAUAAAGAUGUUUGCUGGUUAAUGGUGCAUAUUUUUGUCAUGUCUGCUAGGUAUGCCUUUAUAGCUUAGCUAGUGACAUGAAUUCAUUGAGGUAAGAUUUUUUCCUACCACUGAACACCACUGUGUAGAUUGUAAUAUCCCCGAUUCGGAUUAGUUUUGUACUUUGUGUUGAGUUUGUGAAGCUAAAAGUAUUUAAAAAUAUAACAAAAUCACAUUGUACCAAAGCUGUAACGGAAAUGGUAAAAUAAAAGAAAUUAAAAAAAAAAAAAAAGAAUUACUGAAUGGAAGGAAUAAUUUAUAUACACUAUAGAGGUUUUUUUAUGGAUAUAUACUGUAUUGUAGUGCUUAAUCACAAUAAAGCUAUUUGACCUCAUGGAGAAAGGUCAUGUUUCUA